Molecule: microRNA precursor, 77 nt
Filed under: Pristionchus pacificus
Lineage: Eukaryota; Metazoa; Nematoda; Chromadorea; Rhabditida; Neodiplogasteridae
Description: microRNA ppc-mir-8316 precursor
Source: miRBase by way of RNAcentral
UGCGACGUCGGACAAUCCCUCGAAUAAAUCGAUAAAUAAUCCACCUACCGUAUGCUCGAUGGUGUCCAGGUCGUCGC